Molecule: transfer RNA, 88 nt
Filed under: Phaeomoniella chlamydospora
Lineage: Eukaryota; Fungi; Ascomycota; Eurotiomycetes; Phaeomoniellales; Phaeomoniellaceae
Rfam family: tRNA
About the family: Transfer RNA (tRNA) molecules are approximately 80 nucleotides in length.
Source: Rfam by way of RNAcentral
GCUCUGCUAGUGUAGUGGUUAUCACUCCGGAUUCUGAUCUGUCUCUUCUGAAUUUCCGGCAACCCAGGUUCGAAUCCUGGGCGGAGCU